Haliotis rubra (blacklip abalone) is the source of this 344-nucleotide long non-coding RNA. RefSeq lists it as uncharacterized. The transcript is spliced from 3 exons. Lineage: Eukaryota; Metazoa; Mollusca; Gastropoda; Lepetellida; Haliotidae. The record is from RefSeq and is a predicted model, not a curated record.
UAAAACUGAAGGCAAUCCAAGUCUAAAGAGUUGAGGUGUCUCAGGUUCUGGGGCAAGCUGUCCAUAGUUAUGGCACUAUUACUCGGUUUCAUAUUGGGGUCGAUGUUUACAGGGGUAUUCAGUGAUUUGGAUCCUCAAGUUUGUGGUACAAACAGUGUUGGUUUUGAUUACGCAACCCUCCGUAAAGCAAACAACAAACAAAUUGUUGGAGGGAACAUAGUGACACCUCAUUCGUUUCCAUGGAUGGUUGCUUUGAAGUAUCGAGGUGUCUUCCAGUGUGGAGGGUCUCUUCUGAAGGGUUCCUCUAACAAGUGGUAUAUACUCACGGGCGCACACUGUCUGCA